CUUACCCAAUUUGGUUGACUAGUUUUAAUCUUCUGAUCCACUAAAACAACCUCAAUACUUAUCCUAACCGAAGUAGUUGGAAGCCAUAUAUCCACUGAAACCAUUUCGAUCCUUAUCCUAACCGAAGUAGUUGGAACGACCUCCACUUUAUCUGCAAGGCUUGAAACUUAUCUGGAAUGUUUGAUCAUCCCGGAUCAAAAUCCCUCAGCUACAGUACUUCCGAGUGCCCUAAACCAGUUCCGAGCAUCCAGAAAAUGGCAAAACCCUGCAAAUUGGCUCAAUUUUGAUUUCAAUUCUUCUUUUCACAUCAAUUUUAAUCCACACUCUAAGAACAUACUAUUACUCAUCUCAAAUUACAAUUUUGCUCAUUACCAGAAUCCAGUAUAUCACAUCUUAAGAUGAUGAGGUUACUUGUAAAGUUUGAUUAAGAUAAAUUACUUCCAUACAUGUACUAAUGAUAAUUAUUAAUUUAAUUAUUAUAUGAAAAUUGUAAUAUGAGAGAAAUUUAAUUUUCAUCAUGUUAGAUUAAGAUUAUUUAAUGAAAAUUUAAUUUAUAAUUUAAUCUUUGUGUCAACAGUAUGAUAAGAUUAUAGCAGUCAUAACAAGAUUAUGAAACUUGCAAAUUAUGUUAAGAACAAAAUCUAAUCAUGAUAAAAUAAGAGCUAGGCUAGAAUACUAUUGUUAGCAAAAUGCCUUUUUUGCUAUUAAAUUUUUAACUCUUGGAUGAGAAAUUGUAGGGUUAGGAUGAUGUUAGUCUUUUAGGAUUGAGUGGUCCCACUAGGGUUGAGUGUUCCCACUGGGUUAUAAUAUUUAAUCCAAUGGUUAGAAAUGAUGAAAGAAAUUGAUCCAAAGGCUAAAAAUUUGAUAGCAAAAAAAGCAUUUUGCUAUCAAUAGUAUUCUAGCCCAACUUAUAAAAUAAUACAAUCUAUAAUACAUUUAUAUGGAGUUAAACUAGGAUUCAACUAAUAGCAUCAAACUAAUAGCAACAAGCUUUUUUGUGUUAUAAACUCGUUUUCAAUGUUGAAAUAUCUAAAUUGACAUUAGUAAUAUUGAGCAUGAUCUUGGAUAUUUGACCUUCCCGGUAACCCUAUUUCACAAAGUUUAAAUAUCACUUUUCUUACCGACCGUCCCUAGAGCAAGUGGCAAAGGGCUUGGUGGUUGGUAUCCGAGACCCAAGUUCGAAUCCUAGUUGAUUCACAUUUCCAGCUAAAUUUAUUUCUAAAUAAAAUAAACGAAGCAGGUAGCGUGCUAUCUAUCUCUCUCAAAAAAAAAAAAAAAAAAUCACUUUUCUUUCUUAUUGAGUAGCCCCAAAACGAAUAGUUAAAAUUAAACAAUCUUCUAAAAUUAAGGGAUUAGAUAGUGAAAUUCAGACAAUAAGAUUUAAACUAUGUAGUUUCGAUCAAAAAUUAAAUCAAUUAGGAUUGUGUUUCAUGAUUUUUUUUCUUUCAAGAUUGCUUGAUCUUACAUAAAUGAAGUCAAUAAUUUAUGAAAUUUUAUUCUGAAGAUUUUUUUUAAGAGAAUUUGAAAGAAGUUCAAAUGCUCUAGUUCAUUUGUGUCAGUCGUUAAAAUGAAUGUGUGAACGUCAAAAACGACUAAUAGGACUCUCAUCUAGUUACCAACUGUUCUUAGAGCAAGUGGCAAAGGACUUGGUAGUUGAUAUCCGAGACCCAAGUUCGAAUCCUAGUUGAUUCACAUUUUCAGUUAAGUUUAUUUCUAAAUGAAAUAAACGAAGCGGGUAGGUUCAAAUUAAAUGUAUAUUUUUACUAGUUUGUAUCUUAAAUUUAAUUUUCUUUACAAAAUUAUGACACUAUAAAACUUUAAUGUAUUUUUUGUUAAAACACUACACUACAAUAC
RNAcentral lists this long non-coding RNA (1854 nucleotides) under Ananas comosus (pineapple). Its description in RNAcentral is "long non-coding RNA (ACOM_LNC007078)". The record is from RNAcentral. Lineage: Eukaryota; Viridiplantae; Streptophyta; Magnoliopsida; Poales; Bromeliaceae.